ACGGAGGGUGCAAGCGUUAUUCGGAAUUACUGGGCGUAAAGCGCGUGUAGGCGGUCCCGCAAGUCUGAUGUGAAAGCCCCGGGCUUAACCCGGGAAGUGCAUUGGAAACUGUGGGACUUGAGUACUGGAGAGGAUGGGGGAAUGCCCGGUGUAGAGGUGAAAUUCGUAGAGAUCGGGCGGAAUAUCAGUGGCGAAGGCAGCUAACUGGACUGUAACUGACGCUGAGACGCGAAAGCGUGGGGAGCAAACAG
This 251-nucleotide ribosomal RNA is filed under the name uncultured prokaryote. RNAcentral's name for it is "partial 16S rRNA". It matches the Rfam family "Bacterial small subunit ribosomal RNA", at positions 525 to 775 of the family's 1533-position model. The record is from RNAcentral.